Octopus sinensis (East Asian common octopus) is the source of this 781-nucleotide long non-coding RNA. RefSeq lists it as uncharacterized. The record is from RefSeq and is a predicted model, not a curated record. Lineage: Eukaryota; Metazoa; Mollusca; Cephalopoda; Octopoda; Octopodidae. The transcript is spliced from 2 exons.
AUACACAUGUAUAUAUAUAUAUACACACACACACACACACAUGUAUACACACAUAUGUGUAAACUUGUGAUGCUUGAAGAUUAUUGAAAAACACAAUUAGCAAAAUACUGUGAAGCUAAUUGAGGUAAUAUUGGCGUGAUGAAGUUUUGUAUUAAACGAGAACCACUAAUUAAUCUCUGGCAUAGACCAGGUGUGAUGAUACCACAGUUCAUUAAUAGUGUUUCAAGGAUAGAACUGCUGUGUUUUACCAGUAUUUUUGAUCAUCGAAUUAGUGAAAUUGAGAUUAAAAUUAAAAGAGACUGUACGAUGUUGGGGGUUUGUUACUGAAUAUUCUAAGAUUACUAACCAAUUCCUUUGCCUCACAUUGGAAAUCUAAACAUACAAUAAUUGAUUCAUAAAUUCUUCAGUUCAGUUCUAGAUUUUAUUAUUACGGUAUCACAAAUUUGAUUUUUUUUCUUUCUUUUUAAACUACCAAAUGUCUUUUUUUUGUUAUGAGAUUUUUACAAAGUUAAUUUACACGCUUUAACUCUGUGUAAGAAAUGAAUUAGAAAAAUAUUUGAUUUUUCUCCCCCCCCCCUUAUAAUCCACAAGCUUUAAAUUAUAUUUAAAAGAACCUUCACCCAACACAAACCAACCAGGUACUUUAGUAUCUGGUUGUCUCUCCUGAUGUUAAUAAUAUUAAACAAAUGAAAACUGAAUUGAGCAGAACCACUGCUGAUCAAUUGAUUUGUAUACUGUGAUAAAAGAAUGUAUAUUUGUAAAUAAAUUUUUCCAAAAUCUU